AACGAACGCUGGCGGCGUGCCUAACACAUGCAAGUCGAACGAGAAAGCGGGCUUCGGCCCGCCGGUACAGUGGCAGACGGGUGAGUAACACGUGGGUAACCUGCCCGGAGGUGGGGGACAACUCUCCGAAAGGAGAGCUAAUACCGCAUGACAUCCGCGGAGCGACAGCUCUGCGGAUCAAAGCUAGCCUCUACAUGUAAGCUAGCGCCACCGGAGGGGCCCGCGGCCCAUUAGCUAGUUGGUGAGGUAACGGCUCACCAAGGCAACGAUGGGUAGCCGGCCUGAGAGGGCGAUCGGCCACACUGGAACUGAGACACGGUCCAGACUCCUACGGGAGGCAGCAGUGAGGAAUUUUGCGCAAUGGGGAAACCCUGACGCAGCGACGCCGCGUGGAGGACGAAGGCCUUCGGUCGUAACUACCU
RNAcentral lists this ribosomal RNA (422 nucleotides) under uncultured bacterium. Its description in RNAcentral is "bacterial SSU rRNA". It matches the Rfam family "Bacterial small subunit ribosomal RNA", at positions 29 to 434 of the family's 1533-position model. The record is from RNAcentral.